Long non-coding RNA from Pseudophryne corroboree (corroboree frog), 443 nucleotides. RefSeq lists it as uncharacterized. The record is from RefSeq and is a predicted model, not a curated record. The transcript has 3 exons. NCBI's taxonomy places the organism in Eukaryota, Metazoa, Chordata, Amphibia, Anura, Myobatrachidae.
CUUGGCUCCUGGCGUCGGCGGUAGUCUGUGUGUGGCCUGCCCCUCACUGCUUCCUCUGUGGGGACUUGGAGGUGACAGGGACCUGCGGCAGUGUGGUGCCAUGAAGGGGCAUGCAGCAGUACUAGCAGGAGGAGAUGGUCCAGCCAGUCCAGCCGCACUCACCUUUUUUACCACUCUCUGACGCUGUUGCCCGACGUCAUGAUCCAACAAAAAACAGAAGAAGGGACCCACUGCUGCCGGAGAAGAAAGGGGACCCGCUUUUCCUGUCACUGAUGAGAAGGGGGACCCACUACUGCCCGAGUUGCCAUAGCAACAUUGUUUGGUGGGUGUGCACAUUGACUUUAACUGAUGAUGUCAUCAGACACGGCCGCCGGACCGGUGCGUGGUCCCGCUCCCGGAGCUGGCGUCCUUCACUGGGGUGUUCUCUACGGUAUAAAGGUAUG